Acomys russatus (golden spiny mouse) is the source of this 163-nucleotide small nuclear RNA. RefSeq annotates it as U1 spliceosomal RNA. The record is from RefSeq and is a predicted model, not a curated record. The transcript has a single exon. Lineage: Eukaryota; Metazoa; Chordata; Mammalia; Rodentia; Muridae.
AUACUUACCUGGCAAGAGGGAUAUCAUGAUCACGAAGGUGGUUUUCCCAGAGCGAGGCUUAUCCAUUGCACUCUGAUGUGCUGACCCCUGUGAUUUCCCCAAAUGCAGGAAACUCGACGACAUAAUUUGUGGUAGUGGGGGACUGCGUUCGCUCUCUCCCCUC